RNAcentral lists this ribosomal RNA (253 nucleotides) under uncultured bacterium. RNAcentral's name for it is "partial 16S ribosomal RNA". It matches the Rfam family "Bacterial small subunit ribosomal RNA", at positions 524 to 776 of the family's 1533-position model. The record is from RNAcentral.
UACGUAGGGGGCAAGCGUUGUCCGGAUUUAUUGGGCGUAAAGAGCGUGUAGGCGGCCAUACAGGUCAGCUGUGAAAACUCGAGGCUCAACCUCGAGACGUCGGUUGAAACCGUAUGGCUAGAGUCCGGAAGAGGAGAGUGGAAUUCCCGGUGUAGCGGUGGAAUGCGUAGAGAUCGGGAGGAACACCAGUGGCGAAAGCGGCUAUCUGGACGGUUUCUGACGCUAAGACGCGAAAGCGUGGGGAGCAAACAGG